CGCCACACCACACCCACCCACGCUUUCCCCAUAGGUCGUCUGCCUCCUUCCUCGGCAGAUCCGCCGCCGCCGCCCCCAGGGCCCGCGCCCCUCCACGCCCGCACUACCGCAAGACACCUACCCCGCCCCCAAGGUCGUCCCCGGCCCACGUCGCGACGACACCGCAGCUCAUCGCCUCCGUCGCCGAGGCCAUCGGCGGAGAGGACUGCACCGCCGACCUCCCUGAGGAGCUCCUCGCCUCAUCUUCGGCCUGCUUGACUUUAAUGGGGGGUGAUGGCGUCUUCCUCUCCCGUCCCCGUCGGCCGCGAGCGGAGCGGCCCAUCUGCUGCUGCAGAGUCAGAGCUGCCCCUAAGCUUCUGGCCUCCCCCUCCCACUUCCCCUUCCCGUCUGGGCUGGAAUUCCACUCCACCACCACCGCCCGCCGCCCCUCUGCUCGCAAGCAGCUUGACUGCUUCAGCACAAGACCCAUCCAUUCCUUUGAGGAUCGCAUCGCAUCAGAUCGGAUCGGAUUUCUCAGAUCAGAUCAACCUCUUCCCUCUCCGGCCGAUUCUACUCCAUCAAGUCCAGUCCAGAGCCUUUAGUGGCUCACGGAAACUGAAAGCUCUCCCCCCGUUUCUGCAGCUGAUAUCACACCCAGUAUGGCGGCAAAUGUCGGGGAAUCAACAAGCGGCAGCAGCAAUUGUGCUACCUUUUGCAGUUGUGCUACCUUUUGCAAAGUACCUGUAGGAAAUGGCUGACGGUGAGGAUAUCCAGCCUCUUAUCUGUGACAAUGGAACUGGAAUGGUCAAGGUCAUGGUCAAGGUUGGGUUGGCCGGUGAUGAUGCACCGAGGGCUUUUUUUUCCUAGCAUUGUUGGCCGCCCUUGCCGCACUGGUGUGAUGGUAGGGAUGGGGCAGAAGGAUGCAUACGUUGGGGACGACUCCAGGGACUGCCCCCUUCCUCGACGUCGGCUUCCACUGCUGCGAGAACGGCCGCCCCGUCACGUCCCCAAGUGGCGCUGGCAGCUGAUGUGCUGCGAUCUCCCCAGGAGACCAAAAUCAGCAAAAUACAGUAGAGUCAAGCAGAUCAACGAGGUCAGCCAGAGAGGAGUUACCUUGUGCAGUUAGUCUGGGAGAGUUGAUAUUUCUAUUUGCUUGGCAGGAUAGUGCAAUUUUCUUCAGUAUGCAGUAUCAUAAGUAGUUCAAAACAAUUAGCUGGAUUAUCAUUCAUCUACUAGACGUAUGCAAUGCACUAAAUUGCUAGAAUGUAGUCUAUACGUAAUGUCAUUUGUUGUGUGUCUGAUUGCUUCUUAUUGUUGUGCAAUUAAAUAAAUUUCCUCUAAACAGAUUAGUGCAAUACAGCAUGCAAUUAAUUGAAUUUCUCUAGUCAGAUUAGUCCAAUAUAGCAAACAAUUAAAUGUUUUUUCAUAGGCAAAUUGGUGCAAUACAGCAAGCAAAACAAUGUUUUUUCAUUCGGAGUGAUAUGAGGGUGCUACAAUGGAUUAGGUGAGAGGUGAGGUCGUGCACUCCUGAUGUUUUUUAACAGCCCCUUGCACAAAUUAAUUUGCUAGCCUAUGCCUGGAUUGUUUUGAUGUUUUAGAUGCAGUGUGUAGAGUGAAAUCGAAACCCUAGGGAGGUGGUGCAUAGGUAAGGUGCAACCAAUAUAGAGAUUUGGGUCUGCCCCCCAAAUCUUGAGGCCUUCUGGCACUACACAGAUGGUCCUACCUCUUGUCAGAAGUGGAGUGAGAAAGAACUUGCCUAACUGCAUUCUACCCGUGUGUUUUGUGGGUAUAGCACCCCUUCUCCAAAUCAGUGCCCUCUCUCAUCAGCUUGUGUGAUGCACUAGUAAUUUAGCAUCAGCACUACACUACCAAGAGAAAUGUAACAGUUUUGAGAUUUGGCAUAUCAAUAUAUUAUCCAUGCAAUUUUGUUGCUUCCUUUAGUAUUCAGUAUGUGUGUUGUCAUCUUAGUCUAGAAAGUAACAGUGUCUAUGAGCUGGUAAUUUUACCUUUUCCGGUGAAGAAGAGGUGGUGUGGCAUUUUA
RNA transcript from Panicum virgatum (switchgrass), 2020 nucleotides. RefSeq lists it as uncharacterized. The transcript has 6 exons. Lineage: Eukaryota; Viridiplantae; Streptophyta; Magnoliopsida; Poales; Poaceae. The record is from RefSeq and is a predicted model, not a curated record.